Molecule: long non-coding RNA, 667 nt
Filed under: Heterocephalus glaber (naked mole-rat)
Lineage: Eukaryota; Metazoa; Chordata; Mammalia; Rodentia; Bathyergidae
Description: lncRNA (ENSHGLG00100050852.1)
Source: RNAcentral
GGCUGUGGAAUGUCUUUGUCUCCGCUCCGGCCCGUGGGGUGUGGGGCGGGAGACCUGUUACUGGCGGGCCACGCCUCCAACGGCUGAACUGUAGAGGGGGGGUGCCGCAGAGUGGGAAUGGGAGCUCAGUGGAGGUCGCCACCCUAGCAAGGACAGGGGAGGGGAGCUGCGUGGGGAACGCGAGAAGAGAAGGAAGGAGAAUUGAGGCCGUCUGAGGCAGGAGGAGAGGAGGUAGAGACAGGGCUCUGAGUAAGAAGAGGUUCAAGCAUCUGGCUCUCCCUUGCUGUGUUUCCAGCUACUUGCAAUGGAAUGUGCAUGCCAAUCCAACCUGAGACAGCAGGCCAGACAAUGUGGCACCUCAAGAAAUAAAGAAUUUGCCAGAUACGGUGGUGCACAUCUGUAAUCCCAGCACUCAAGAGGUUGAGGCAGGAGGAUCACCACAAGUUUGAGACCAGCCUGGGCUGCAUAGUGAGCUUAAGGCCAGCCUGCACUACAUAGCAAGUCCCUGUCUCAAAAAAAAAAAAAAAAGGACAAUGAGCAGAAGACGUCUAGAAGUGAUAAAGCAAGUAUGGAUAUUUAUAUUAUCUCUCUGUGCACCCCCUUUCUUCUGCUCCUUACUGUAAAAGACCCUUAUCUACCUGUACACAGUGAGAUGGUCAUUUGAGGG